GUAAUUUAUUGAAGGCUACUAGGAAACCCGGGUACAGGUCUUAUCAGAGAUUCGCGGGUAAGGAACUGGUUGUGGUUAGGGAAGGUAUUAGCACCCCUAACGCACCCUACCUGAGGUAAGCUGCUUCGUGUCUUUGAUGUGCUAAAGAAGUUUUAAAAAUUCUGUUCUUUCAUCGAAUUUAGAAAUACGACUUACAUGUAAGUUCAUAAUUCUUUAUCCGUGAGCAAAAUCAAAAUAUUAAAUUCUUCUUUAAUCUUUGCAAUUUUAUCCUAAAUAAAAAAAAACAUCCAUAACAAAAAAAUACAAACUCACACAUACACCUUCACUGUAUUUUUUCUUUUCUCUUUCUUUUCUUUUUUGCUUCCAUGUUUACAAAAUACAAAUUCCAAAAAACUUAAAACUAAACAAAUAUUACAUUAAACAAAAAUUACAUUAAACAAUUCUAAAAUUACAAAACAGCCCCUAAAACAUCCAAAGCAGUGCUGGGACCAGUUCUGUGAAGCCAAAGGACAGCAGGAACAGUGGAGGCGCGUCUCCUCCACGCGCCACCGUCACUGGCGGCGCGUGGGUUCACGCGCCGCCGCAAGAAAAACCCAGCAACAGGGGGGUCUGGAUCGACUUCUUCCCCUCUUCUUUUCCUCGCCGGCGGUGAAGAUCAACGUCACCUGCAACCAAAAGAAAACGCACAAGCAGUCUGUUUUAGUUAUUUUUUUAGAUCUGUUUCCCUCUGCUUUCCAUCCUUGUCUGCUUCACUUUCUUCUUUCUCAGGUCUGUUCUUGGGGCUUCGUCGUCUUCUCCUCUGCUUCAGGUACUUGGGCGGCGGCUGGUGGAGAUCUGGAUCGGUCUGUGAUGGCUGCGGGUCGUCGCUGCUGGAGGUGGCCGGUCUGUGGACACUGCUGAAGGUGCUUGCUGGAGGUGGGGUGGGCCGUUGCUGCUAGAAGAAGGAGAAGCCGAAGGGCAACAGUUGAGGGACAGCCAGCUUUGGCUUGCUUUGGGGCUGAGGAAAAGGGAAAAGCUUCGGUUGUUUUCUUCUUCUAAGGGAGCGGCGGCCUGGGAGCAGAAGGGGAACAACUCUGGUUUCGGCCCGGCGUGUGGCUGAGCUAGGGCUGUUGGCUUAGUUUUCUGGUGAAGGGAGAGAAGACCCGUGGAAGGGUGGGGGGGCGGCUAGGUCUCUGGUUGGCUUCGGUGGAGAAGAAAAUGGGGAUAAUAGGGAAGACUGAAAAUGGCAGGGAAAGGGACGUGUGGCUUCAUUUUUUUUAGGAGAAAGGGCCGCUGCCUUGGUUGAGGGGAAUGCUCUGUGUUCAGGCGGCUUAAAAGGGAUAAAGGGGAGUCUGAAAUGGCACAGCGUUUCAACAAAAAAUGAGAGGGGGUGGGCUGCUGUUUUGGAGUAGAGGCCGGUGUGCAAGGAAGAAAAAUCCCAGCGGGCAGUGGCUGAGAGUUUUGCGCUCGGCAGCUCCCAGCAGAAGACAAUCAAAAUGGAGGGGCUGGUUUGGUUCCUUUUUGUGGCCAGGAGAGGGGGCUGCCCUGGUUUGGUUUUGCAAGAGAAGGGCUGCUGCUUGUGCCCGCUGCUGCUGGUUGAGGGAGAAGAGAAAAAAAGUCCUCUGGAGGGGUCGGCUGGGGAAGAAACCAGAAGAGAAUCAGCUCCCGUUUUUCCCCC
Molecule: long non-coding RNA, 1657 nt
Organism: Populus trichocarpa (black cottonwood)
Lineage: Eukaryota; Viridiplantae; Streptophyta; Magnoliopsida; Malpighiales; Salicaceae
Exons: 2
Source: RefSeq, a predicted model, not a curated record